RNAcentral lists this ribosomal RNA (540 nucleotides) under Salmonella enterica. Its description in RNAcentral is "bacterial SSU rRNA". It matches the Rfam family "Bacterial small subunit ribosomal RNA", at positions 993 to 1533 of the family's 1533-position model. The record is from RNAcentral. Lineage: Bacteria; Pseudomonadati; Pseudomonadota; Gammaproteobacteria; Enterobacterales; Enterobacteriaceae.
GAACUUUCCAGAGAUGGAUUGGUGCCUUCGGGAACUGUGAGACAGGUGCUGCAUGGCUGUCGUCAGCUCGUGUUGUGAAAUGUUGGGUUAAGUCCCGCAACGAGCGCAACCCUUAUCCUUUGUUGCCAGCGAUUCGGUCGGGAACUCAAAGGAGACUGCCAGUGAUAAACUGGAGGAAGGUGGGGAUGACGUCAAGUCAUCAUGGCCCUUACGACCAGGGCUACACACGUGCUACAAUGGCGCAUACAAAGAGAAGCGACCUCGCGAGAGCAAGCGGACCUCAUAAAGUGCGUCGUAGUCCGGAUUGGAGUCUGCAACUCGACUCCAUGAAGUCGGAAUCGCUAGUAAUCGUGGAUCAGAAUGCCACGGUGAAUACGUUCCCGGGCCUUGUACACACCGCCCGUCACACCAUGGGAGUGGGUUGCAAAAGAAGUAGGUAGCUUAACCUUCGGGGGGGCGCUUACCACUUUGUGAUUCAUGACUGGGGUGAAGUCGUAACAAGGUAACCGUAGGGGAACCUGCGGUUGGAUCACCUCCUUA